Acanthochromis polyacanthus (spiny chromis) is the source of this 2750-nucleotide long non-coding RNA. RefSeq lists it as uncharacterized. The record is from RefSeq and is a predicted model, not a curated record. Lineage: Eukaryota; Metazoa; Chordata; Actinopteri; Pomacentridae. The transcript is spliced from 4 exons.
GCCAUGGGGUGGCAGCAGAGAGCGUGCGAACGUCUUGGCUGACAGGAUGCAGUGAGGCAGGUGCUUUAUUUUGCUUCCCUUGCCUGCUUUUUCAAACCACGGGAACUGAUCAUGCCUGGAUCCAGACAGGGCUCUGUUCAGGCCUUCAUCAGUACCAGUUAAUUGAUGAACCAAAGACCUGAAGAGAAGCCCAACAGUACUGCAGAGAAAAGUUCACUGGCCUGGCUACUGUGGACAACAUGGAAGACGUGGAUCAACUGAUUGCAGCUGCUGGCAGUGGCUACAGUGGAAAAGUAUGGAUUGGCCUGUAUGACAAUUCUAGCAGCUGGGCGUAGUCGAUGACAGAUGAUGGCUACUACGAAACCAACAAUCAGCAGUUUCUCUGGUGGAAAACUGGUCAACAAGAUAAUCGCAGAGAUUACUGGAACCUAUGCACUAUUGUAGAAAAAGGUCUAUUGUAUGAUGUGCUAUGCUCCCGAACAGGCCCUUUUUUUUUGCUAUGACAAUUGUAACGGUGAGUAAAACUUUACGUCUUCAAAUCAAAUCAAAUCAACUUUAUUUAUAUGGCACUUUUCAUACAAUAGAGUAACACAAAGUGCCUCACAGAGGAUAAAAAAAAACAACACAAUACAAAACACUGUGAAAAACCCGAAACCUUCCACCCCCCAACAAAUAUACACACAGAUACACAAUCACAUAUACAUUCACACACAAGACGUGGCUCAACUGAUUGCAGCUGCUGGCAGUGGCUACAGUGGUAAAGUAUGGAUUGGCCUGUAUGACAAUUCUAGCAGCUGGGCGUGGUCGAUGACAGAUGAUGGCUACUACGGAACCAACAAUCAGCCCUUUCUCAGGUGGUCCAAGGGCCAACCAAAUGAUCGCAGAGAUGAGUGGCACCUAUGCGCUACGGUAGUUAAAGGUGGAGGUGUGAAUGAUGUGCCAUGCUCCUACCCACUCCCCUUUCUCUGCUAUGACAAUUUAGACGGUGAGUAAAUUGUUACUUCUUGUGGUUUCUGUGAUCCAGUAACAUGUAGUGCAUUUUCUAGAUUGUGGUAUAAUUAUUACUUCAAGUGUGUGUUUAGGCCCCAAAACAGAAAAUGAACGGCAGCUUUGACUGUUUUAUUUGUCUUGUAAAGAUGUAACUCACAUGUGAAGAUUUUACUCUUUUCUUAAUUUGAUUUCAUGCAGAUUGGAUUUUUAAAACUGUUGGUCAGAAUAAAUUACUUUUGUGUGCAAAUUAGUCUCACUGAACUUUCAAAAUUCUUGCCAGCUUCUUCUCCUCCAAGAUAUGUCUAGAAGUCCUGGAAGGUGACAUGGGAGGAAGCUCAGAGCUACUGCAGGAAGUUCCACACAGACCUGGCCUCCAUCAGGAAUGAAGAAGAGAUGACACUGGUCCAGAAGGCUGGACCAGGAAAUAUGGGUGUUUUCGUUGGUCUGUCUAGAAGAACCUGGUACUCUUGGUCAGAUGGCACAGAGCAUGAAUUCAAAAACUGGUUGACUGGAAACAUACCAUAUAACAGUGGAGACUGUGCUACCCGUUUGAUCGGUGCUACUGAUGCUGGAAAGUGGGUGGAAGAUCACUGUGAUCAAAAACUUCCUUUCAUGUGCCACUACGAGACAAAGCAGCUUCGGAUCAAGCUGAGGGUUCUGAAAUCCACAAUGGACCUGAAUGACCCCGCUGUGACGGAGGCCAUCCUGAAACUGCUGGAGAAGAAGCUGAAAGAGAAAGGGAUCACAGCAGGGUUCAAACUUAGAUGGGUCAAGAAGAAUGACAACACCAUCUUUGAGGAAGAGAAGGAAGAGAAGGAUGAACUGUAAACUGUAUUUACAGGAUAUCUUUCAUUUGUUUUACUUUGAAGGUUCAUGUUUUAGGUUGACAUGUUAGAGCCAACUAAUAAAUAUCAAACUGUCAUGUGAGACAUUUAUUGUUUUGGAGUAGAGCAGAGUAAAUUGUUCAGAAAACUGAACAAAUAUCUUAUUUAUCCUGUUGCUGUGUUGAUAAAUUAAUGGUAGGGCAGAUUUACAGGUGAUUUUAUGCAACAUACAUGUGGAAAUCUACACAUUUAAACUGUGAAAACUUUCUCAUGUGAAAAUGUUGUAAUGAACUGCAGAGACAUCAGCGUAUCCCUGUAAAGCUGGAUUCAUUUAUAGAGCAUGUUGUUGGAUAUUUCAGAGUGAUGUGUGAUGUAUUAGGAUUUAAUAUUGUAGCUUUGUAAGAAAAUCUCUGAGGUCAUGAGAGUUGUGAAGGAAAAAUGACUCUUUCCCCUUUCUAAGGUCAUAAUGGCCUUUAGACAGACAGACACUGCAGGAGAUCAGAUAUCGUCUAUUGUGAUGUGACUAAGCAGACCAGUUGUCUCCAUAUUGGUCUGUAAUCUAAAUCUGACCUUCUCCCAACUCCAAUAUAAAGCCAAAGAUCAGAGAGAAUCCUCAGAAGUGCUGCUGGCAUUGCUUGCAUGUACUGCUGCUCUGUUGGUGUCACUUCUCCUGAUAUCAGUAAACAUUACUCACAACCUAAGUCAUCUGAGUCUCCAGUGUGUCUCUCUGGAUCUGCCUCCACAUCACUGAACUUCAGCAACAAGAGUCCAGUGAAUGUUCUUCAUUGUGUGGUUUUUAAAUAUCUACAGAUCUGUAGCUGACUUGUAUCUGUUCUUUGUGUUAAAACUGUGUUUGCAACUGUAAUCAUCAUAACGAUUUCUGUUCAUUAUACUGGUUUGGUUUUCAAUAAAGUUUUCUGACAAUAACAAAAAUUA